This 421-nucleotide ribosomal RNA is filed under the name uncultured bacterium. Its description in RNAcentral is "bacterial SSU rRNA". It matches the Rfam family "Bacterial small subunit ribosomal RNA", at positions 355 to 774 of the family's 1533-position model. The record is from RNAcentral.
UAAGGAAUAUUGGUCAAUGGACGCAAGUCUGAACCAGCCAUGCCGCGUGAAGGAUGAAGGUCCUCUGGAUUGUAAACUUCUUUUAUCUGGGACGAAAACGGGAUUUUUAUCUCAAUUGACGGUACCAGAGGAAUAAGCACCGGCUAACUCCGUGCCAGCAGCCGCGGUAAUACGGAGGGUGCGAGCGUUAUCCGGAUUUACUGGGUUUAAAGGGUGCGUAGGUGGGCUUAUAAGUCAGUGGUGAAAUCUCCGAGCUUAACUUGGAAACUGCCGUUGAUACUAUAGGUCUUGAAUUAUCUGGAGGUUAGCGGAAUAUGUCAUGUAGCGGUGAAAUGCUUAGAUAUGACAUAGAACACCAAUUGCGAAGGCAGCUUACUACAUAUAAAUUGACGCUGAGGCACGAAAGCGUAGGGAUCAAACA